This 563-nucleotide ribosomal RNA is filed under the name Sordaria fimicola. Its description in RNAcentral is "eukaryotic LSU rRNA". The stretch from base 194 to 347 matches the Rfam family "5.8S ribosomal RNA". The record is from RNAcentral. Lineage: Eukaryota; Fungi; Ascomycota; Sordariomycetes; Sordariales; Sordariaceae.
GUAGCAUGUCGAGCUGCAGCUCCCACAACCAUCGCGAAUCUUACCCGUACGGUUGCCUCGGCGCUGGCGGUCCGGAAGGCCUUCGGGCCCCCGGACCCUCGGGUCUCCCGCUCGCGGGAGGCUGCCCGCCGGAGUGCCGAAACCAAACUCUUGAUAUUUUAUGUCUCUCUGAGUAAACUUUUAAAUAAGUCAAAACUUUCAACAACGGAUCUCUUGGUUCUGGCAUCGAUGAAGAACGCAGCGAAAUGCGAUAAGUAAUGUGAAUUGCAGAAUUCAGUGAAUCAUCGAAUCUUUGAACGCACAUUGCGCUCGCCAGUAUUCUGGCGAGCAUGCCUGUUCGAGCGUCAUUUCAACCAUCAAGCUCUGCUUGCGUUGGGGAUCCGCGGCUGCCCGCGGUCCCUCAAAAACAGUGGCGGGCUCGCUAGUCACACCGAGCGUAGUAACUUUACAUCGCUAUGGUCGUGCGGCGGGUUCUUGCCGUAAAACCCCCAAUUUCUAAGGUUGACCUCGGAUCAGGUAGGAAUACCCGCUGAACUUAAGCAUAUCAAAAGCCGGGAAGGAAA